CUGGAGAGUUUGGGGAUACUUGAUUUCCUUACCUCCCACCCCUAUUCCAAGGUGCCUGUGGAAUUAGGUUGCUAGAGCUCUCAGUUGUUAGACUGAGCUGAUACCACAGGUAUGUACACAUUAAGACUAGAUGCAUGAGCAUCUGUGCCUGUCUGCUUUGUGUGUUUCCUGCUCAGAUUCAGUUGGAAACCAUGCUUUUCUUUACUUUCACAAGGGUGAUCUUGUGUUAGUGAGGAGGAGGAUGUAAACACCUGAGACCUGCCUUCGUGUUUGACCAGAACAGUUGAUAAACUAGUCUCGCUUCCUAACUGUAACUAUUUUUUCUUUUCUGUAAUGAGGCUCCUCCAUCCAAGGGAUAUAGUCCCACUUUAUUUUUCCAAAUACCUGGCUGUGAGUAUGUCUCCAAAGUAACAGAAAGGAUGGGCAAACUCCUCCACUGAUGGAUGGAGCUGCUUGCGUCCCCUCCGGCAGCUUUGCUUCCCUGGCCAGUGUCUGAAGCCAGUCUGUGUUGGCCACCCAUGGAACCUGUCCAGGUUGUCUCUCCUUCCACCCAGAAUGGAACAGAGGGCAGCUUCCCUGAGUUUCUCUCAACAUAAAUGAGACUGUGGCUCUCCUGAGGACAUUUCCAUGAUUUAUCACAGAGCACUUUGGUUGAGAUGAGUGGGCAUGGCUGGAGAAAAAGUGCAGGGGCCUCUCCUGCAGCAAUUGAGGGGUGAUUGAUUCCCAAAAGUGUUACAGGUGAAACCAAGGUCCUAGGACACUGUGCUGUUCUUUGUCACCUUGACACAAGUUAGAGUCACCUGGGAAGAGGGAAUCUCAACUGUAAAGAUGCCUCUACCAUACUGGACUGUAGGCAAGCUCAUGGGCCAUUUUCUUGAUUAAAAAUUGAUAUGGAAUGGCCCAGCCCUUGGGUGCUCUAAGGCUGAGCAAGCCAUGAGGGAGCCAGUCAAUAGUCCAUGGCUUCUGCAUCAAUUCCUGCCUCCAGAUUUCUGUGUUACGAUAAAUCUUUCUGCCAAAAGCCACCUGAGCCCCACCGCCACAUGUGAGCUUUAUGCCAGCCGCCCACCUAAGUUAAGGCCCAAAUGAAUACACAGAAACUUGUAUUAG
This 1107-nucleotide long non-coding RNA is filed under the name Cricetulus griseus (Chinese hamster). Its description in RNAcentral is "lncRNA (ENSCGRG00015030433.1)". Lineage: Eukaryota; Metazoa; Chordata; Mammalia; Rodentia; Cricetidae. The record is from RNAcentral.